Molecule: long non-coding RNA, 535 nt
Filed under: Homo sapiens (human)
Lineage: Eukaryota; Metazoa; Chordata; Mammalia; Primates; Hominidae
Description: HSALNT0220341
Source: RNAcentral
UCUGACCUGAUUUUUCAGUAGGAAACCAACUUCUUAGCCAGAUGGGGUCUGUUCUGAAUGUGUAAUUGGUGCUAAAUACAUAUCUUUUAAAUCAAAUUUACUCUUGCUCUAGCUGCUUGAUUUUUUGGGGCAAUGGAAACAUAUAAUUACAAUCAUGCUGAACUGCAUUUGUUUUUAGAAAGCUUCAAUGUUUGAUUUUUAGAAUAAAAUAAGCUUUAUUUUUUACUCAUUCUUUUGCUCUCUGUUAAAACCUUCAUUCCAGGAUGAUCUACCUCGGGAGCACAGAUUACAGGGUUUUGCAUACCAGUGAAACUAGUGACAUCGGCUGGUCUAAAGGACCCCACAAGCAGUUGACUCAAAGAACAAAGUUUCCAAGUUCUGAUUUUCAUACCCCUUCCUCGAUCAAUCAACAACCACAAUUUUCUAGCCCCUUGCCCUUCAUAAUUCUCUUAAAAACCCCAGCCCAGAACCCCUCAGAGAUGGAUUCGAGGGUCUCCUUCCAUCUCCUUGCUCAGCCACCCUACAAUCAUUAAAG